AACGCUAGCUACAGGCUUAACACAUGCAAGUCGAGGGGCAGCGGGAUUGAAGCUUGCUUCAAUUGCCGGCGACCGGCGCACGGGUGAGUAACGCGUAUCCAACCUUCCGCUUACUCGGGGAUAGCCUUUCGAAAGAAAGAUUAAUACCCGAUGGUAUCUUAAGCACGCAUGAGAUUAAGAUUAAAGAUUUAUCGGUAAGCGAUGGGGAUGCGUUCCAUUAGGCAGUUGGCGGGGUAACGGCCCACCAAACCCACGAUGGAUAGAGGUUCUGAGAGGAAGGUCCCCCACAUUGGAACUGAGACACGGUCCAAACUCCUACGGGAGGCAGCAGUGAGGAAUAUUGGUCAAUGGGCGAGAGCCUGAACCAGCCAAGUAGCGUGAAGGAUGACGGCCCUACGGGUUGUAAACUUCUUUUGUGCGGGAAUAAAGGAACCUACGUGUAGGUUUUUGCAUGUACCGUAACGAAUAAGCAUCGGCUAACUCCGUGCCAGCAGCCGCGGUAAUACGGAGGAUGCGAGCGUUAUCCGGAUUUAUUGGGUUUAAAGGGAGCGUAGACGGGUUUUUAAGUCAGCUGUGAAAGUUUGGGGCUCAACCUUAAAAUUGCAGUUGAAACUGGAGACCUUGAGUACGGUUGAGGCAGGCGGAAUUCGUGGUGUAGCGGUGAAAUGCUUAGAUAUCACGAAGAACUCCGAUUG
This 695-nucleotide ribosomal RNA is filed under the name uncultured bacterium. Its description in RNAcentral is "bacterial SSU rRNA". It matches the Rfam family "Bacterial small subunit ribosomal RNA", at positions 32 to 715 of the family's 1533-position model. The record is from RNAcentral.